GGAGAAGUGUCCGAGCGGUCGAAGGAGCACGCCUGGAAAGUGUGUAUACCUCAAAAGGGUAUCGCGGGUUCGAAUCCCGCCUUCUCCGC
This 89-nucleotide transfer RNA is filed under the name Alistipes sp. cv1. Its description in RNAcentral is "tRNA-Ser(gga)". It matches the Rfam family "tRNA". Rfam says of the family: Transfer RNA (tRNA) molecules are approximately 80 nucleotides in length. Lineage: Bacteria; Pseudomonadati; Bacteroidota; Bacteroidia; Bacteroidales; Rikenellaceae. The record is from RNAcentral.